This 116-nucleotide ribosomal RNA is filed under the name Sinocyclocheilus rhinocerous. Lineage: Eukaryota; Metazoa; Chordata; Actinopteri; Cypriniformes; Cyprinidae. The record is from RNAcentral.
AUUGGCUGCCAUAUCACCCUGCAGCCCAAGACUGGUUGCCCACUGAAGCUAAGCAGGGUUGAGCUGGUCAGUACCUGGAUGGGAGACCUCCUGGGAAAACUAGGUUGCUGUUGGAA